RNAcentral lists this non-coding RNA (24 nucleotides) under Arabidopsis thaliana (thale cress). Lineage: Eukaryota; Viridiplantae; Streptophyta; Magnoliopsida; Brassicales; Brassicaceae. The record is from RNAcentral.
GGAUCCCGCCUUGCAUCAACUGAA